CCCCUAGUAACUGCGAGUGAAGCGGGAAAAGCUCAAAUUUGAAAUCUGGCGUCUCCGGCGUCCGAGUUGUAUUCUGGAGAAGCGUUUUCCGUGCCGGACCGUGUACAAGUCCCUUGGAACAGGGCGUCAUAGAGGGUGAGAAUCCCGUCUCUGACACGGACCCCCGGUGCUCUGCGAUGCGCUCUCGAAGAGUCGAGUUGUUUGGGAAUGCAGCUCAAAAUGGGUGGUAAAUUCCAUCUAAAGCUAAAUAUUGGCGAGAGACCGAUAGCGAACAAGUACCGUGAGGGAAAGAUGAAAAGCACUUUGGAAAGAGAGUAAAACAGUACGUGAAAUUGUUGAAAGGGAAACGCUUGAAGUCAGUCGCGUCUGCCGGAACUCAGCCUUGCUUCUGCUUGGUGCACUUUCCGGUUCGACGGGCCAGCAUCGGUUUCGAGCGGCGGACACUGGCGAGGGGAAGGUGGCGGCUCCGGCCGUGUUAUAGCCCCACGUCGCGAACGCCGCCCGGGACCGAGGAAUCCGGCGCAAGCCUGGGAUGCUGGCGUAAUGGCUUUAAACGACCCGUCUUGAAACACGGACCAAGGAGUGCUACGUGCUCGCGAGUGUUUGGGUGGCAAACCCGGACGCGUAAUGAAAGUGAAAGUCGAUACCCCUCACGGGGGCACCGACGCCCGAGCCUGAUGUUUUCGGAAGGCCUUGCGGUAGAGCGAGUGCGUUGCGACCCGAAAGAUGGUGAACUAUUCCUGAGGAGGGCGAAGCCAGAGGAAACUCUGGUGGAGGCUCGUAGCGGUUCUGACGUGCAAAUCGAUCGCAGGACUUGGG
This 819-nucleotide ribosomal RNA is filed under the name Trechispora sp. RNAcentral's name for it is "partial large subunit ribosomal RNA". It matches the Rfam family "Eukaryotic large subunit ribosomal RNA", at positions 77 to 915 of the family's 3401-position model. The record is from RNAcentral. Lineage: Eukaryota; Fungi; Basidiomycota; Agaricomycetes; Trechisporales; Hydnodontaceae.